GUGCCAGCCGCCGCGGUAAUACGGAAGGGGCAAGCGUUGUUCGGAAUCAUUGGGCGUAAAGGGCGCGUAGGUGGUCCUAUGUGUCUACUGUGAAAGCACACGGCUCAACCGUGUCGGGUCGGUAGAAACUGUAGGACUUGAGGCUGGGAGGGGCUGGUGGAAUUCCCUGUGUAGCGGUGAAAUGCGUAGAGAUGGGGGAGAACACUCGUGGCGAAGGCGGCCAGCUGGACCAGUCCUGACACUGAGGCGCGACAGCAUGGGGAGCAAACAGGAUUAGAAACCCUAGUAGUCC
RNAcentral lists this ribosomal RNA (292 nucleotides) under uncultured bacterium. RNAcentral's name for it is "partial 16S ribosomal RNA". It matches the Rfam family "Bacterial small subunit ribosomal RNA", at positions 505 to 796 of the family's 1533-position model. The record is from RNAcentral.